This 217-nucleotide unclassified non-coding RNA is filed under the name uncultured Tomentella. RNAcentral's name for it is "sequence contains ITS2". Lineage: Eukaryota; Fungi; Basidiomycota; Agaricomycetes; Thelephorales; Thelephoraceae. The record is from RNAcentral.
ACACCUCAACUCUUGUGGUUUCCCGCAAUGAGCUUGGACUGUGGAGGUUUUGCUGGCCCUGUGGUCAACUCCUCUCAAAUGGAUCAGCUUACCAGUGUUUGGUGGCAUCAUGGGUGUGAUAACUAUCCGCGCCUGUGGUCGUUUCCAAAUAACCCCCAGUGAUGGAGGUUCGCUGGAGCUUAUAAAUGUCUCUCCCCAGCGAAGACAGCAUUCGAAC